CCUACGGGGGGCAGCAGUGGGGAAUAUUGGGCAAUGGGCGCAAGCCUGACCCAGCAACGCCGCGUGAAGGAAGAAGGCUUUCGGGUUGUAAACUUCUUUUGUCAGGGACGAAGCAAGUGACGGUACCUGACGAAUAAGCCACGGCUAACUACGUGCCAGCAGCCGCGGUAAUACGUAGGUGGCAAGCGUUAUCCGGAUUUACUGGGUGUAAAGGGCGUGUAGGCGGGGAAGCAAGUCAGAUGUGAAAACCACGGGCUCAACCUGUGGCCUGCAUUUGAAACUGUUUUUCUUGAGUACUGGAGAGGCAGACGGAAUGCCUAGUGUAGCGGUGAAAUGCGUAGAUAUUAGGAGGAACACCAGUGGCGAAGGCGGUCUGCUGGACAGCAACUGACGCUGAGGCGCGAAAGCGUGGGUAUCGAACAGGAUUAGAUACCCCAGUAGUC
RNAcentral lists this ribosomal RNA (443 nucleotides) under uncultured bacterium. Its description in RNAcentral is "partial 16S ribosomal RNA". It matches the Rfam family "Bacterial small subunit ribosomal RNA", at positions 338 to 795 of the family's 1533-position model. The record is from RNAcentral.